UAAGCAUAUCAAUAAGCGGAGGAAAAGAAACCAACAGGGAUUGCCUCAGUAACGGCGAGUGAAGCGGCAAAAGCUCAAAUUUGAAAUCUGGCGCCCUUCUUGGGUGUCCGAGUUGUAAUUUGAAGAUGGCGACUGUGGGGCUGGCCUUUAUCUAUGUUCCUUGGAACAGGACGUCACAGAGGGUGAGAAUCCCGUCUGAUGAGGUGACCCAGCUCUUUGUACAGUGCCUUCGACGAGUCGAGUUGUUUGGGAAUGCAGCUCUAAGUGGGUGGUAAAUUCCAUCUAAAGCUAAAUAUUGGCGAGAGACCGAUAGCGAACAAGUACAGUGAUGGAAAGAUGAAAAGAACUUUGAAAAGAGAGUGAAAAAGUACGUGAAAUUGUUGAAAGGGAAGGGUAUUAGAUCAGACUUGGUGUGCGGUUGAUUAGCUUCCCCUUGUGGGUUGUGUACUCGGCGUGCGCUGGGCCAGCAUCGAUUCGGAGCGGCAGGAUAAUGGUAGGGGGAACGUGGCAGGUGUCUUUGGCAGCUGUGUUAUAGCCCUCUGCAGAUGCUGCCAGCCUGGAUCGAGGACUGCGUCUUUUAGACUAGGAUGCUGGCGUAAUGAUCUAAUAUCGCCCG
Molecule: ribosomal RNA, 616 nt
Filed under: Wickerhamomyces canadensis
Lineage: Eukaryota; Fungi; Ascomycota; Saccharomycetes; Phaffomycetales; Wickerhamomycetaceae
Description: LSU rRNA
Rfam family: Eukaryotic large subunit ribosomal RNA
Source: RNAcentral